This 301-nucleotide ribosomal RNA is filed under the name uncultured bacterium. Its description in RNAcentral is "partial 16S ribosomal RNA". It matches the Rfam family "Bacterial small subunit ribosomal RNA", at positions 509 to 807 of the family's 1533-position model. The record is from RNAcentral.
CAGUAGCCGCGGUAACACGGAGGGUGCAAGCGUUAAUCGGAAUUACUGGGCGUAAAGCGUGCGUAGGCGGUUCGUUAAGUCUGUUGUGAAAGCCCCGGGCUCAACCUGGGAAUGGCAAUGGAUACUGGCGAGCUAGAGUGUGUCAGAGGAUGGUGGAAUUCCCGGUGUAGCGGUGAAAUGCGUAGAGAUCGGGAGGAACAUCAGUGGCGAAGGCGGCCAUCUGGGACAACACUGACGCUGAGGCACGAAAGCGUGGGGAGCAAACAGGAUUAGAUACCCCAGUAGUCCCUGUCUCUUAUAC